RNAcentral lists this ribosomal RNA (440 nucleotides) under uncultured bacterium. RNAcentral's name for it is "partial 16S ribosomal RNA". It matches the Rfam family "Bacterial small subunit ribosomal RNA", at positions 338 to 795 of the family's 1533-position model. The record is from RNAcentral.
CCUACGGGUGGCAGCAGUGGGGAAUAUUGGACAAUGGGGGGAACCCUGAUCCAGCGACGCCGCGUGAGUGAAGAAGUAUUUCGGUAUGUAAAGCUCUAUCAGCAGGGAAGAAAAUGACGGUACCUGACUAAGAAGCCCCGGCUAACUACGUGCCAGCAGCCGCGGGAAUACGUAGGGGGCAAGCGUUAUCCGGAUUUACGGGGUGUAAGGGGAGCGUAGACGGCAGCGCAAGUCUGGAGUGAAAUCCCAUGGCUUAACCAUGGAACGGCGUGGGAAACUGUGCAGCUGGAGUGCAGGAGAGGUAAGCGGAAGUCCUAGUGUAGCGGUGAAAUGCGUAGAUAUUAGGAGGAACACCAGUGGCGAAGGCGGCUUACUGGACUGUAACUGACGUUGAGGCUCGAAAGCGUGGGGAGCAAAUAGGAUUAGAUACCCCAGUAGUC